RNAcentral lists this long non-coding RNA (2252 nucleotides) under Equus asinus (donkey). RNAcentral describes it as "lncRNA (ENSEASG00005033137.1)". The record is from RNAcentral. Lineage: Eukaryota; Metazoa; Chordata; Mammalia; Perissodactyla; Equidae.
GGGCAAGAAAAUAGGAGGAGGUUAAAGAAGUGGACAGAACACCAUGGAAGGAGGCUGAAGCUCAAGUGGGUGAGAUGACUGAUGAGAAUCCCCCAGUGGGGGAAAUUCUGCCAGACUUUUGAGAACAGGGUUUGCUAGUGUUCAGCUUUAUGAUUGCUGCAUAGUUGUCAUAGAUUGGGUUUCCUAGAUCUAGAUCUUGAGGUAAGACUUGAAGUGCAAGUAGUUUAUUUGAGGUGAAAGAAACGCCAGCAGGAGAAUAGGGAGAUCCUUAUCUUCUGCUUUUGGAUAUAUACCACAUCUUGAAGGAGACUGAACUGACUCCAGAGGGUGUCGUUCCCAGGCUGAUGUGUUGGCUGUGCCUUUGAGGACAUUCAGAUAUUUUCUCAAGUUGGCAAAUUCUCGAUUGUGCCAUGUAGGAGGUUUGAAGGCUGUGGGUCCGUUAUUGCCUUCUUUGUGACAAAAAAAUUUCUGAGACAGAGAUUCCCAUGUAGGAAAUUUAUUGAGAAGUGCCCUUAGGAUCAACACUUGUGGGAGCCGUGGGAUUAGGAAGGUGGAUGAGGUAAACAUCCAUGCAAUGGCAACCAAGUCCUCAGCCAAUUCUGCAGGGAAUUCACACUAGCAAGGUGCUUCAGAGUUGGUUCACACUGAGCAGUUGGGGAAUGCAGGCUGUCUCUGGGGAAGAGAGGAAAGGCCUCAGGCAGGCUUUUAAGAUUGAGGACAAGGCUCAGAGAGGGACUCAGCUGAAAGCUGUCAGCUGCUAACAGUCUCAGCAGCUGGGAGAAUGAAUGCCCCAGCCCUGAAAGGGGAAGGAAAAAGGUUAAUAAAACUACUCAGCUGCAAUCUCCUGCUAUCCUUCCGAAGAGGGCAGAAUGGCUAGGUGGAGCCAUGGGCUCAGAGUGUGGAACCUUGAGCUAUAGAGAGUGGAGACUCCAGUCACAGAGGAUUUUUCCCAGCCCUUGAAAAUUAAUGAAGUUUGCUUAGCUGGAUUUUGAAAUUGCUUGGGACAGGUUUGUGCUAAGAAAAUGCCUUCAACAAACAAAGUGGCUCCAGUGGGUUUCCAGUCCCUGGGGAGAGGGGAGAAAGAGAGAAAAGAAUCACUUUCUUAAGGGGAAAAGUACAGCAGCCAUGCCAUUCUGAGGAUUUACUACAGGAUUAAAUAAACUUCUCCACUUGAGGGGGACAUGUUUGUGCUGAAGGAAUAACAUAUUAUUACUUUUUUUGGAGAAGCAAGAAGACUUUUCCAGUGAUUCUCAAACUGUCACUGCCCGGGUUUCUAAUGAGGAGUUUGGUCCGGUCGUGAUCCCUCACCAGGCAUCUACUACAACAGACAAUGUGAAUCUGGUGGCAGACGAAGGGGUCUGGAUGAGUCGGAGUUACAGGAAGAAAUCAACCCCGUGUCUGAGUCAUCUUUAUCAUGGUCUAUGUGGCUAGAACCCCAGGGCAAUCUGAAUGGCAACUUGGGUUGGCUUGGCUGCUUACAGACAGAAGGUCAGAAUGGGAAAAAUGUUGGAGAGCUUGGUUGCUUUUGUAAAGUGGGUUUGAAAGUUUGUUGGUGUUUUAAACUAAUUUUCAAAAAAGCAGUAUGUGGUUGUGACUAAGACUAUAGAUUGAUAACCAGAUUGGUUGAGUUCGUAUCCAGAACCUACUGCUUACUAGCUUUUUAUUUCCUUUAUAGACAAACUUCUUAACCAUUCUGUGCCUCAGUUUCAUCAUCUUUAAAUUGGGGAUAAUAUUAUUACCUCAGUAGUUGUAAGGAUUGAAUGAGUAAUACAUUAAAGCGCUUUGACCAGUGCCCAGUAUAGUAAGCACUCAGUAAAUUCUCAGCCCCAUGAGGUCGGUGUAGGUGUGAGGGUUAAUUUUAUGUGUCACUUGACUGGCUAAGCGAUGCCCAGAUAGCUGGCAAACAUUAUUUCUGGACGUGUUUGAGAGGAUGUUUCUCAAAGAGAUUAGCAUUUGAAUCAGUUGACUGAGUAAGAAGAUGCCCUCACCAAUGCGGGUGGACAUCAUCCAGUCAUUGAGGGCCUGAGUAGAACAGAAAGGCAGAGGAAGGGAGAAUUCGCUCUCUGCUUAAGCUGGGACGUCCGUCUUCUCCUGCCCUCGGAUGCCAGCACUCUGGUUCUUGUGCCUUCAUACUGGGACUGGCACUGACUUCAUCGGCUCCUGGUUCUCAUGCCUGCACGUUUGGACUGGAACUGCACCACCGCCUUUCCUGGGCCUCCAGCUUGCAGUCUUCUCAGCCUCCAUGAUCGCAU